Molecule: ribosomal RNA, 253 nt
Filed under: uncultured bacterium
Lineage: Bacteria
Description: partial 16S ribosomal RNA
Rfam family: Bacterial small subunit ribosomal RNA
Source: RNAcentral
UACGGGGGGGGCAAGCGUUGUUCGGAAUUACUGGGCGUAAAGGGCUCGUAGGUGGCCAACUAAGUCGGACGUGAAAUCCCUCGGCUUAACCGGGGAACUGCGUCCGAUACUGAUUGGCUUGAGUUUGGGAGAGGGAUGCGGAAUUCCAGGUGUAGCGGUGAAAUGCGUAGAUAUCUGGAGGAAUACCGGUGGCGAAGGCGGCAUCCUGGACCGAGAUUGACACUGAUGAGCGAAGGCCAGGGGAGCAAACGGG